RNAcentral lists this long non-coding RNA (1387 nucleotides) under Neodiprion pinetum (white pine sawfly). RNAcentral's name for it is "uncharacterized LOC124221903". Lineage: Eukaryota; Metazoa; Arthropoda; Insecta; Hymenoptera; Diprionidae. The record is from RNAcentral.
CGUCGCAGAAGGCGACGAGAAUGUGGAAAUAAAAAUAAGAAAAAGGGGAAACAACAAGAAAAGUGCGAGAGAUAAUCAGAAGACGGGAGAAUUCUGUGGAUCACCAUUCGGAUGCGCUGAUCCAUAAAAGUGUCGCCGUGAUCCAGACGAUUUCGGAAACCCUCCGCGACCGGGAGGUGGCGGUCGCGAAUCAGGAGAGAGAGGUAACAAAGCGAGAGACCCUUCUUCUACGGGCCGUCAUUGGUGAAGACCUCCAGGAGGAGUCGGCGGCAGAGGAGGCGGAGGAGGAGGUGGGCGCGAGAGUGGACCAGGGGAGGGAAGUCGCCGCGGAGGGGCGAGUCGUCCACAGGUCACCAGAAAAUAAUUAUAUCACCGUCGUCGCAGAAGGCGACGAGAAUGUGGAAAUAAAAAUAAGAAAAAGGGGAAACAACAAGAAAAGUGCGAGAGAUAAUCAGAAGACGGGAGAAUUCUGUGGAUCACCAUUCGGAUGCGCUGAUCCAUAAAAGUGUCGCCGUGAUCCAGACGAUUUCGGAAACCCUCCGCGACCGGGAGGUGGCGGUCGCGAAUCAGGAGAGAGAGGUAACAAAGCGAGAGACCCUUCUUCUACGGGCCGUCAUUGGUGAAGACCUCCAGGAGGAGUCGGCGGCAGAGGAGGCGGAGGAGGAGGUGGGCGCGAGAGUGGACCAGGGGAGGGAAGUCGCCGCGGAGGGGCGAGUCGUCCACAGGUCACCAGAAAAUAAUUAUAUCACCGUCGUCGCAGAAGGCGACGAGAAUGUGGAAAUAAAAAUAAGAAAAAGGGGAAACAACAAGAAAAGUGCGAGAGAUAAUCAGAAGACGGGAGAAUUCUGUGGAUCACCAUUCGGAUGCGCUGAUCCAUAAAAGUGUCGCCGUGAUCCAGACAAUUUCGGAAACCCUCCGCGACCGGGAGGUGGCGGUCGCGAAUCAGGAGAGAGAGGUAACAAAGCGAGAGACCCUUCUUCUACGGGCCGUCAUUGGUGAAGACCUCCAGGAGGAGUCGGCGGCAGAGGAGGCGGAGGAGGAGGUGGGCGCGAGAGUGGACCAGGGGAGGGAAGUCGCCGCGGAGGGGCGAGUCGUCCACAGGUCACCAGAAAAUAAUUAUAUCACCGUCGUCGCAGAAGGCGACGAGAAUGUGGAAAUAAAAAUAAGAAAAAGGGGAAACAACAAGAAAAGUGCGAGAGAUAAUCAGAAGACGGGAGAAUUCUGUGGAUCACCAUUCGGAUGCGCUGAUCCAUAAAAGUGUCGCCGUGAUCCAGACGAUUUCGGAAACCCUCCGCGACCGGGAGGUGGCGGUCGCGAAUCAGGAGAGAGAGGUAACAAAGCGAGAGACCCUUCUUCUACGGGCCGUCAUUGGUGAAGACCUCCAGGA